GAAGGUGAGAUGUGUUUUCAGGGUGUUCCUAAACUAUGGACUUGGACAGUCCAUUUUGGACUACUAAACUAUGGACUUCGAUCGAAAACUAUGGACUUCACCAGAUGGCGCUGCCUGUCAAAGUCCAUAUUUUAGAACCUGAACGCUCCACCAAUGGCCCUACUAAACUAUGGACUUUUCCUGAAAAGUAUGGACUUUAUCCAAAUUCAACAUAAAACAUAAACUACGAAUCGUUCUAUCAUUUUUUUGUUUGAUAUAUUUAACGUCCGUUCAAUAAACUACAAGAAGCCACGAGCUUUCUAGAGCUGGCGGGACACUUACUUUUUUAAAGCCAAAAUUUGUUUGGUUCAUAGUUUUUUAUUAUAAUAAUAGUAUCAAAUGCCAGAACACUGCUUGGUAGAAUUCCGUCGGCGGUAGGAUAUAUUUUUGUAAAAUAUUCUAUUUUUUUUUUUAAUUUCUUCUAAAGUAUUAUUUUUUAUUAAUUCGCUGUCUUGCUUUAUCCGAUCUAUAAAACGGUUUAAAUACAAGAUGUUUUUCCGUG
This is a long non-coding RNA of Daphnia pulicaria, 541 nucleotides long. RefSeq lists it as uncharacterized. The record is from RefSeq and is a predicted model, not a curated record. NCBI's taxonomy places the organism in Eukaryota, Metazoa, Arthropoda, Branchiopoda, Diplostraca, Daphniidae. The transcript has 4 exons.